RNAcentral lists this transfer RNA (74 nucleotides) under Lingula anatina. It matches the Rfam family "tRNA". From Rfam's summary of the family: Transfer RNA (tRNA) molecules are approximately 80 nucleotides in length. Their secondary structure includes four short double-helical elements and three loops (D, anti-codon, and T loops). Further hydrogen bonds mediate the characteristic L-shaped molecular structure. tRNAs have two regions of fundamental functional importance: the anti-codon, which is responsible for specific mRNA codon recognition, and the 3' end, to which the tRNAs corresponding amino acid is attached (by aminoacyl-tRNA synthetases). tRNAs cope with the degeneracy of the genetic code in two manners: having more than one tRNA (with a specific anti-codon) for a particular amino acid; and 'wobble' base-pairing, i.e. permitting non-standard base-pairing at the 3rd anti-codon position. The record is from Rfam by way of RNAcentral. Lineage: Eukaryota; Metazoa; Brachiopoda; Lingulata; Lingulida; Lingulidae.
ACGCCAGUAGUUCAAUUGAAUAGAAUAUCUGACUACGGAUCAGAAGGUUGUGGGUUUGAGUCCUGCCUGGCGUA